This 435-nucleotide ribosomal RNA is filed under the name uncultured bacterium. RNAcentral's name for it is "partial 16S ribosomal RNA". It matches the Rfam family "Bacterial small subunit ribosomal RNA", at positions 29 to 507 of the family's 1533-position model. The record is from RNAcentral.
AGCGAACGCUGGCGGCAGGCUUAACACAUGCAAGUCGAGCGGGCGUAGCAAUACGUCAGCGGCAGACGGGUGAGUAACGCGUGGGAACGUACCUUUUGGUUCGGAACAACACAGGGAAACUUGUGCUAAUACCGGAUAAGCCCUUACGGGGAAAGAUUUAUCGCCGAAAGAUCGGCCCGCGUCUGAUUAGCUAGUUGGUGAGGUAACGGCUCACCAAGGCGACGAUCAGUAGCUGGUCUGAGAGGAUGAUCAGCCACAUUGGGACUGAGACACGGCCCAAACUCCUACGGGAGGCAGCAGUGGGGAAUAUUGGACAAUGGGGGCAACCCUGAUCCAGCCAUGCCGCGUGAGUGAUGAAGGCCCUAGGGUUUUAAAGCUCUUUUGUGCGGGAAGAUAAUGACGGUACCGCAAGAAUAAGCCCCGGCUAACUUCGUG